RNAcentral lists this ribosomal RNA (231 nucleotides) under Triticum aestivum (bread wheat). RNAcentral's name for it is "partial small subunit ribosomal RNA". Lineage: Eukaryota; Viridiplantae; Streptophyta; Magnoliopsida; Poales; Poaceae. The record is from RNAcentral.
AUGACGAUCCUAAGUUGGAACUGUCGAGGCCUCGGGCAACCUCGAACAGUUCAGGAACUCGUGUGUCUCGUGCACACGUACAAGCCCAAGCUCGUCUUCCUCUCUGAAACCCGGCAAAAGAAUAAAUAUGUCAGCAAUCUGAAGUGGAGGCUAGGCCUUCGUCACUGUAUCACGCAACCCGGCACUAGUAAAGGUGUCGGCAUUGCCCUCUUUUACGAUGAGAAUAUUGAA